UUAGAGUUUGAUCCUGGCUCAGGACGACCCCUGGCGGCGUGCCUAACACAUGCAAGUCGAACGGAGUUUACCGGAUUGAAGUUUUCGGAUGGAAAGAAAGUAAACUUAGUGGCGGACGGGUGAGUAACGCGUGAGCAACCUGUCCCAAGGAGGGGAAUAACAUUGUGAAAGCAAUGCUAAUACCGCAUAAGACCACGCCCUCGAGUGAGGGAGGGGUCAAAGCCUUAGGGUGCCUUGGGAGGGGCUCGCGUCCCAUUAGAUAGUUGGUGAGGUAAAGGCUCACCAAGUCGACGAUGGGUAGCCGGACUGAGAGGUUGAACGGCCACACUGGGACUGAGACACGGCCCAGACUCCUACGGGAGGCAGCAGUGGGGAAUAUUGGGCAAUGGGGGAAACCCUGACCCAGCAACGCCGCGUGAGAGAAGAAGGUAUUCGUAUUGUAAAUCUCUGUCCUUGGGGACGAAAAAAAUGACGGUACCCAAGGAGGAAGCCCCGGCUAACUACGUGCCAGCAGCCGCGGUAAUACGUAGGGGGCGAGCGUUGUCCGGAAUUACUGGGCGUAAAGGGUGCGCAGGCGGUUAAUUAAGUCUUAUGUGAAAUACCCGGGCUUAACUUGGGGGUUGCAUGGGAAACUGGUUAACUUGAGUGCAGGAGAGGCAAGUGGAAUUCCUAGUGUAGCGGUGAAAUGCGUAGAUAUUAGGAGGAACACCAGUGGCGAAGGCGACUUGCUGGACUGCAACUGACGCUGAGGCACGAAAGCGUGGGUAGCAAACAGGAGUAGAUACCCUGGUAGUCCACUCCGUAAACGAUGGGAUACUAGGUGUAGGGGAGUCAAAUCCUCUGUGCCGCAGUAAACGCAAUAAGUAUCCCGCCUGGGGAGUACGGCCGCAAGGCUGAAACUCAAAGGAAUUGACGGGGGCCCGCACAAGCAGCGGAGCAUGUGGUUUAAUUCGAAGCAACGCGAAGAACCUUACCAAGGCUUGACAUCCCUCGGAUUGCAUGGAAACAUGCAAGCCCUUCGGGGCGAGGAGACAGGUGGUGCAUGGUUGUCGUCAGCUCGUGUCGUGAGAUGUUGGGUUAAGUCCCGCAACGAGCGCAACCCUUGUCAUCAGUUACCAGCACGUAAAGGUGGGGACUCUGGUGAGACUGCCGGGGACAACUCGGAGGAAGGUGGGGACGACGUCAAAUCAUCAUGCCCCUUAUGUCUUGGGCUACACACGUGCUACAAUGGCCGUAACAAAGAGAAGCGACCUCGCAAGGGUGAGCGGAACUCAAAAAAACGGUCUCAGUUCGGAUUGUGGGCUGCAACCCGCCCACAUGAAGUCGGAGUUGCUAGUAAUCGCCAAUCAGCAUGUCGCGGUGAAUGCGUUCCCGGGCCUUGUACACAGCGCCCGUCA
Molecule: ribosomal RNA, 1397 nt
Filed under: uncultured bacterium
Lineage: Bacteria
Description: bacterial SSU rRNA
Rfam family: Bacterial small subunit ribosomal RNA
Source: RNAcentral